CUCUAGCUCAGCGGUCAGAGCAUCCGGCUCAUAACCGGCAGGUCCUUGGUUCAAACCCUAGGAGGCCCACCA
RNAcentral lists this transfer RNA (72 nucleotides) under Clostridiales bacterium. RNAcentral's name for it is "tRNA-Met". It matches the Rfam family "tRNA". From Rfam's summary of the family: Transfer RNA (tRNA) molecules are approximately 80 nucleotides in length. Their secondary structure includes four short double-helical elements and three loops (D, anti-codon, and T loops). The record is from RNAcentral. Lineage: Bacteria; Bacillati; Bacillota; Clostridia; Eubacteriales.